RNAcentral lists this ribosomal RNA (280 nucleotides) under uncultured bacterium. Its description in RNAcentral is "partial 16S ribosomal RNA". It matches the Rfam family "Bacterial small subunit ribosomal RNA", at positions 333 to 630 of the family's 1533-position model. The record is from RNAcentral.
AACUGCCUACGGGGCGCAGCAGUGGGGGAUAUUGCACAAUGGGGGAAACCCUGAUGCAGCGACGCCGCGUGAGUGAAGAAGUAUUUCGGUAUGUAAAGCUCUAUCAGCAGGGAAGAAAAUGACAGUACCUGACCAAGAAGCCCCGGCUAACUACGUGCCAGCAGCCGCGGUAAUACGUACGGGGCAAGCGUUAUCCGGAUUUACUGGGUGUAAAGGGAGCGCAGGCGGCCUGCCAAGUCUGGUGUGAAAACCCGGGGCCCAAUCCCGGGCCUGCAUUGGA